CGUCUCUGCGGCGGAGAACGCUCGUCAUCCUGAUGCGCGUGCUUUGUCAGCUCUUUAAAUGUCUUCUCCAGCUUCUUGUCCUAUACAGAACAAAAUAAAUAUACUUGUAUGUGCAAGUUUAUUGGCCAAAGACGACUACUGUGGUAUUCAAACCUACUCCCUGGUACAGCAUCUUUUUAAGAUUAGUUAAUGGUCAUUAAAAUGUCUGCUAAAUGCUCUGAGGCCUACCCAGUCUCCUAUCCAAUGGGUGUCAGGCGUUCUUUCCCCAAGGGUGUAAAGCAGACGAGGAGUGAAACCGACCACUCGCUGAGGUCAAGGAAAAGCUGUACCUCCACUGCCCCAUACAUCUUUAGGGUGUGGUGCUUGGUUCUCACUACCCUGAUAAUGGAGUCAAUAAUCUCCUCAAUACUACCUACUAGACUACACAGCAUAACAUCCCAGAAGACAUUCAUCUUCAGUGUGGAAAGUGGAAACUGAGAUGCCACCUUGUGACAGGAAUGCAAUUGUGCGCAACCCAAGUAGCUCAGGUGCAUACUACGUACAUCACUCAACUGUCGGAACGCAGCCCCCGACAAACCCUUAACAGUCCACGCAAGUCAUUUACAUGCCAUUUAAUAUUAGUUGUGCUCUAGAAGCAGCAUUCAGUCUGACAAAUUAACUUAAUUUACAAUCUGGCACAUUUACAGUGUAGUCUCAGUCUACAGACACGGUAUUUGAGAGCACAUUACUCUGGACAAUAUUCUGGGAUAAGUUUGAGAAAACUGCUGUUCUAAAUAUGGUUUGGAUUGGGACAGACAGUAAAUGUAGUAUGCAUGGGAGAGA
This is a non-coding RNA of Zootermopsis nevadensis, 822 nucleotides long. The record is from RefSeq and is a predicted model, not a curated record. NCBI's taxonomy places the organism in Eukaryota, Metazoa, Arthropoda, Insecta, Blattodea, Termopsidae.